Molecule: long non-coding RNA, 1898 nt
Organism: Xenia sp. Carnegie-2017
Lineage: Eukaryota; Metazoa; Cnidaria; Anthozoa; Malacalcyonacea; Xeniidae
Exons: 2
Source: RefSeq, a predicted model, not a curated record
GAUUGGAAACGCUUUGUCGCACACAAGAAGUGUAUGAAGAAAACUGCAAAUUCUAGUCACGCUAAAAUUAGUGUCGCUUUUUGGUUUGGUGUAUGCAUGUAUCCUGCCUAUAUAGUCUUCAUCUAACGAAAGUAAAAGAAAUGAAAGGUUGGGUUUUGAAAAAGAAUUGCACAACUAAAAUAAUUUUUGGACUUUUUGUCGUCAACAUUGUAUUUUUGCAACUUUAUCGACUCUAUGGUCAUCAUGUUUAGUUUAACGUACCUAAUGGACCUGAAUUUUCGUUGAGCAAGUUUUUGACCAUUGAUACCACAACACAUAAAACAACAAAAGUUUCUAUAAGCAAGAUGAGACAAAAUGAAAUAAAUCCUGAUGCUGCCAACGAAAACACAGAAACGUCGGAAGUUUUAUCCGUGAGCUUAUUCAUGCGGCUAACUUCCAUUCACAAAAAACGAUUUUACUGUGAUUUUCUGAGGACUAUGGUUUUGUUAUGACCUUCAUCAUAUGGAAAGUUGGUCUUGGUGUUUGACAAAGAGUCUGCUAAUGAUAGAGCUCUAGCAAAGAUCGUUAGAGCUCAGUUUAGUAGAUCCUUCUCUGAUCGCAUCCUUGAAAUUGCUUUUGAGCCUUUACCACGUAGCCACGAUACACUUUUAAAACUCCCUUGGCGCAGUCGAGAUACAGGUUACAACAGACAAAUCUGGAGUAGCGUUUACAUAGAUUUGUACACAAAAAGUUCAAUAAUUGCUUGGGUUGAUUCAGACAGUGCAUUUUCAGCUGCCGUUACUUGUCAUUUGAUGUUUAAUGGUACACGACUUCGAGUUAUUGGUACUGACUGUACGUUGAAAGAAUCACAUUUUAUUAGAUCGUGUGAUAAAAGCGUGCUACUUUCUCUUGGAUUACCUGCCGUGAGUGACUUCAUGUUGCAUUUCCCAGUUUAUAUAUAUCGCAACACAUUUAAAAAUUGUAGAAAGUAUUUAAUCAAGCGACAUCAAGCAAAACAUUUUGAAGAAGUAUAUAAAUACAUAAGUGCUCGAAGCAAAAUUUGUCCAGUAACUACAGAGCUUAACUAUGCCUUGCACUUUGAGAGAGAUCAAUACGACUGGACCUUUAAAAUUUGCUCUUGCCCUUGGGAUAAUUUUAACAGGUGCUUUCAAUCUAGAGCUAAAAUUAGAACAGAAGAUAUCAGACCGAUCUUAGCAAAUCCUCCGUUAUGUGUACAUACGGGAAAACCUAAUUCAGCAUUUGAAUCAGCUCAAUUAAUUUUAACUAGCUACUGCUUGUCAAACAAGGAGGCUGGAUUAAAAGCAAGACACUGCAUAAAUGAAAGUGACUAUCAAAUUACCAAAAGUUUAAUUCUUUUCAAAUAAGGGAGAGCAUCGGAGACGUGUGUUGGAAACAUGACAGGAAUAUGUCUUGACAUUCUAAAGAGACAUAUCGCCUAUUUGGCUCAGAAAUAAAAAGUAAAAAACGUACAAUGGACUGGAACAACGUAGAGAAAGUUGAAGCUUUUGCAAAAGAAGUCGGAAGUAGUUGUCCAGUAAUUCAUAACGGCAGACCUGGAAAAAAGAUCCCAAUUGUUUGAACCUUUUUUUGAAAUAAGUUUUCUAAUUUAAAAAAUAUUGAUAUGCCAUUUUUGUAGCUUUUGAUACUCAGAAAUUUGGCCAGCCUUAGUUCUUUGAAGAAUGUUGAUUGUUAACGUGCUCCUUUCACCAAAAAGUUUUUUAGCAAUAUGUAUCGAACGCCUUUACUACCUUAUGUCAAUGAUAAUCUUUCUAUGAGGUGCUUCUAUCAUUAUAUGCAGUGUAUUUAUCAUUAUAUGCAGAGCUCAUGUUAUUAUGCGUGGUGCUUUGUUCGGUACAUGCGGUAAAAGAUGUCUGUUCAUUAAAAUUCUCGCAAUCCUC